Musca domestica (house fly) is the source of this 862-nucleotide long non-coding RNA. RefSeq lists it as uncharacterized. The transcript is spliced from 3 exons. NCBI's taxonomy places the organism in Eukaryota, Metazoa, Arthropoda, Insecta, Diptera, Muscidae. The record is from RefSeq and is a predicted model, not a curated record.
AUCACAACAACAGCAUGUUUAUAUCAAAGCUUUUUUUCGGAUAAACCCUUAUUAUCAAGAUAUAUUUGCUUAAUCUGGAUUUAUUCAACAAGAUUUGUCACACAAAUUUGUUUAAAUUUCUUUCAUUUGUGUCAAAGGUUAGUAUGCAUAACCAAAAGAAAGAAAAUAAACAAGGAAUUAUAAUAUGGAAAAUGAAUGUGCAGAAAGAAAAUUGAUUAGGCUUUGGUCGACAGAUGCUGAAGUAGCCCGUAUGGAAAAAAAAUCUUCCGAAAAUUAGUGGCGUACGUAAAAACUCUCACAUAUAUAGUGAGAUGUCAACAGAAUUAGCUGCAAGUGGAUUUAUAUAUGAUGGAGAAGAAGUAAAAAACAAUAUCACAAACAGAUGCCGGUUAUUAGUGGUUCUUUACACCCCACUAUGUAUAUAUAUUCUUCAUCAGUUUACAAUUCUGUGUCGAUUUAGGGUCUGUAUGUCCGACCGUGGAAACCCCGCUAGCUUCCGAGCUAAAGGAAAUAUACCUUUUGUGGAAUUUGUCGAUGAUGAAUAUAUUGAGUGUAUUGAAAUUUUAUGUUUCGAUAUUGAAAGUAUGGAAGUUCCUGUCGAAGAAUCAAAACCAAAAAAGCGAAGAAAAGUGACAAAGAAAAUACUAAAAUAAUUAAACAAAAUAUAGAAGCUACUAACAAGGAGUUAGUAGAGUGUGUAAAAUAUAUGAAUGAUUUAACUGAAAAAGGGCUCAAUAUACAAAAAGUCAUUGCUGAGACCGAAAAAGAGCGAAGCGAAAUCCUUAAGGAAUUUGUAUAUAUUUUUAAAAAUAAUAAUUUCAAGUAAAUUACAAAUACUUGAUUUUUUGACGCGCAUUUUUAA